This 2676-nucleotide ribosomal RNA is filed under the name Salmonella enterica subsp. enterica. RNAcentral's name for it is "partial 23S ribosomal RNA". It matches the Rfam family "Bacterial large subunit ribosomal RNA". Lineage: Bacteria; Pseudomonadati; Pseudomonadota; Gammaproteobacteria; Enterobacterales; Enterobacteriaceae. The record is from RNAcentral.
UAGCGGCGAGCGAACGGGGAGGAGCCCAGAGCCUGAAUCAGCAUGUGUGUUAGUGGAAGCGUCUGGAAAGGCGCGCGAUACAGGGUGACAGCCCCGUACACAAAAGCGCAUGUGCUGUGAGCUCGAUGAGUAGGGCGGGACACGUGGUAUCCUGUCUGAAUAUGGGGGGACCAUCCUCCAAGGCUAAAUACUCCUGACUGACCGAUAGUGAACCAGUACCGUGAGGGAAAGGCGAAAAGAACCCCGGCGAGGGGAGUGAAAAAGAACCUGAAACCGUGUACGUACAAGCAGUGGGAGCACCCUUUUGGGUGUGACUGCGUACCUUUUGUAUAAUGGGUCAGCGACUUAUAUUCUGUAGCAAGGUUAACCGAAUAGGGGAGCCGGAGGGAAACCGAGUCUUAAUUGGGCGUUAAGUUGCAGGGUAUAGACCCGAAACCCGGUGAUCUAGCCAUGGGCAGGUUGAAGGUUGGGUAACACUAACUGGAGGACCGAACCGACUAAUGUUGAAAAAUUAGCGGAUGACCUGUGGCUGGGGGUGAAAGGCCAAUCAAACCGGGAGAUAGCUGGUUCUCCCCGAAAGCUAUUUAGGUAGCGCCUCGUGAAUUCAUCUCCGGGGGUAGAGCACUGUUUCGGCUAGGGGGCCAUCCCGGCUUACCAACCCGAUGCAAACUGCGAAUACCGGAGAAUGUUAUCACGGGAGACACACGGCGGGUGCUAACGUCCGUCGUGAAGAGGGAAACAACCCAGACCGCCAGCUAAGGUCCCAAAGUCAUGGUUAAGUGGGAAACGAUGUGGGAAGGCCCAGACAGCCAGGAUGUUGGCUUAGAAGCAGCCAUCAUUUAAAGAAAGCGUAAUAGCUCACUGGUCGAGUCGGCCUGCGCGGAAGAUGUAACGGGGCUAAACCAUGCACCGAAGCUGCGGCAGCGACGCUGAUGCGUUGUUGGGUAGGGGAGCGUUCUGUAAGCCUGCGAAGGUGGCCUGUGAGGGUUGCUGGAGGUAUCAGAAGUGCGAAUGCUGACAUAAGUAACGAUAAAGCGGGUGAAAAGCCCGCUCGCCGGAAGACCAAGGGUUCCUGUCCAACGUUAAUCGGGGCAGGGUGAGUCGACCCCUAAGGCGAGGCCGAAAGGCGUAGUCGAUGGGAAACGGGUUAAUAUUCCCGUACUUGGUGUUACUGCGAAGGGGGGACGGAGAAGGCUAUGUUGGCCGGGCGACGGUUGUCCCGGUUUAAGCGUGUAGGUGUGUGUUCCAGGUAAAUCCGGUUCACUUUAACACUGAGGCGUGAUGACGAGGCACUACGGUGCUGAAGCAACAAAUGCCCUGCUUCCAGGAAAAGCCUCUAAGCAUCAGGUAACAUCAAAUCGUACCCCAAACCGACACAGGUGGUCAGGUAGAGAAUACCAAGGCGCUUGAGAGAACUCGGGUGAAGGAACUAGGCAAAAUGGUGCCGUAACUUCGGGAGAAGGCACGCUGACACGUAGGUGAAGUGAUUUACUCACGGAGCUGAAGUCAGUCGAAGAUACCAGCUGGCUGCAACUGUUUAUUAAAAACACAGCACUGUGCAAACACGAAAGUGGACGUAUACGGUGUGACGCCUGCCCGGUGCCGGAAGGUUAAUUGAUGGGGUCAGCGCAAGCGAAGCUCCUGAUCGAAGCCCCGGUAAACGGCGGCCGUAACUAUAACGGUCCUAAGGUAGCGAAAUUCCUUGUCGGGUAAGUUCCGACCUGCACGAAUGGCGUAAUGAUGGCCAGGCUGUCUCCACCCGAGACUCAGUGAAAUUGAACUCGCUGUGAAGAUGCAGUGUACCCGCGGCAAGACGGAAAGACCCCGUGAACCUUUACUAUAGCUUGACACUGAACAUUGAGCCUUGAUGUGUAGGAUAGGUGGGAGGCUUUGAAGCGUGGACGCCAGUCUGCGUGGAGCCGACCUUGAAAUACCACCCUUUAAUGUUUGAUGUUCUAACGUGGACCCGUUACCCGGGUUGCGGACAGUGUCUGGUGGGUAGUUUGACUGGGGCGGUCUCCUCCUAAAGAGUAACGGAGGAGCACGAAGGUUGGCUAAUCCUGGUCGGACAUCAGGAGGUUAGUGCAAUGGCAUAAGCCAGCUUGACUGCGAGCGUGACGGCGCGAGCAGGUGCGAAAGCAGGUCAUAGUGAUCCGGUGGUUCUGAAUGGAAGGGCCAUCGCUCAACGGAUAAAAGGUACUCCGGGGAUAACAGGCUGAUACCGCCCAAGAGUUCAUAUCGACGGCGGUGUUUGGCACCUCGAUGUCGGCUCAUCACAUCCUGGGGCUGAAGUAGGUCCCAAGGGUAUGGCUGUUCGCCAUUUAAAGUGGUACGCGAGCUGGGUUUAGAACGUCGUGAGACAGUUCGGUCCCUAUCUGCCGUGGGCGCUGGAGAACUGAGGGGGGCUGCUCCUAGUACGAGAGGACCGGAGUGGACGCAUCACUGGUGUUCGGGUUGUCAUGCCAAUGGCACUGCCCGGUAGCUAAAUGCGGAAGAGAUAAGUGCUGAAAGCAUCUAAGCACGAAACUUGCCCCGAGAUGAGUUCUCCCUGAGACUUAGAGUCUCCUGAAGGAACGUUGAAGACGACGACGUUGAUAGGCCGGGUGUGUAAGCGCAGCGAUGCGUUGAGCUAACCGGUACUAAUGAACCGUGAGGCUUAACCUUACAACGCCGAAG